Molecule: non-coding RNA, 675 nt
Organism: Vicugna pacos (alpaca)
Lineage: Eukaryota; Metazoa; Chordata; Mammalia; Artiodactyla; Camelidae
Source: RefSeq, a predicted model, not a curated record
GUUUCCAAACCAGCAAGUGUUUGGAAAUUAGGGGAAAAAAUUAAAUUCUCACCAACGGUUGCUGUUACAGUUAAAUCAAUAAAGAUCUUGAGUAUCACCUUGGUGUUUUAAUUUUUUUUUUUAAUUUCAGGUGAAGUCCUGUUGACACAUUUUGGGCAUCUUGGCUGUCUAGAGUGAAUACCAGCUUUAAAAACAUUCCAAGAAACUCCUGGUUUAGUUCCAGAAAUACGAAGCAGAAGAGAGUCAUGUGAAAAUUCUUGUGGGAUUUGCUUUGUUGCCCAGAGAAAGGCAAACAGAGUCAACGGGAGAAAAGAUUCUGAACUUCCUUUCCUAGAAUAUCAGCACUGGGGAGGAGCUGAGACCCUCUAGUCUACGUGCUCCACCCAUAAUUUUAUGAAAGGAAGAAAAAGUCCCUCAAGGCUACCUGACAGGGCAUGACUCCACCUAGACUCUUUGAGGAUGUUAUCACUGGUCAGCUCUACGUCCUUAAAGCCUAGCAAGGACUUGGCACAUUGUAGGUGCUUGAAUAACCGUGCAUGUGAACCUAGUAACUUAACAGCAAAACUGGAGUCCUGUCCCCCUGAUCUGGUGGCAAGGCCACUUCUCCCCUACAGCCUACCGCCUCCCCAGGCCUUGGCAUCACACCUGGAUGUAUGCGUGGUUGGUCGGAUGGAA